RNAcentral lists this ribosomal RNA (499 nucleotides) under uncultured Pseudomonadota bacterium. RNAcentral's name for it is "bacterial SSU rRNA". It matches the Rfam family "Bacterial small subunit ribosomal RNA", at positions 355 to 867 of the family's 1533-position model. Lineage: Bacteria; Pseudomonadati; Pseudomonadota. The record is from RNAcentral.
UGGGGAAUAUUGGACAAUGGGCGAAAGCCUGAUCCAGCAAUGCCGCGUGAGUGAUGAAGGCCUUAGGGUUGUAAAGCUCUUUUACCCGAGAUGAUAAUGACAGUAUCGGGAGAAUAAGCUCCGGCUAACUCCGUGCCAGCAGCCGCGGUAAUACGGAGGGAGCUAGCGUUGUUCGGAAUUACUGGGCGUAAAGAGCGCGCAGGCGGUCGUUCAAGUCGCGUGUGAAAGCCCCCGGCUCAACUGGGGAGGGUCACGCGAUACUGAUCGACUCGAAGGCAGGAGAGGGUAGUGGAAUUCCCGGUGUAGUGGUGAAAUGCGUAGAUAUCGGGAGGAACACCAGUGGCGAAGGCGACUACCUGGCCUGUUCUUGACGCUGAGGCGCGAAAGCUAGGGGGAGCAAACGGGAUUAGAUACCCCGGUAGUCCCUAGCCGUAAACGAUGGGACACUAGGUGUUGGUGGUAUCAACCCCGCCAGUGCCGAAGCUAACGCAUUAAGUGU